GGUAUACAAAUUUGGUGCUCUUGUAUGGAAGUCAUACAGUAUCGAGGUUGUCAUUUAGUCGAAAACACAAUUCUUUGUUCCGUCAAGCAAAUUAAAUACUUCAAUCAAAAUGUACCAGACAAUUUUUCCUUAUUCAUUUUUUUUAGUCUUCGUGGCACUGGCAAUUACGAGCCAACAAUUUGUUAGUGCUGCUCCAGUCAGCAGUGCUUAUUUUUCUGACGGUACAGUAUUAACUGGACCAAUUAAUAUGAGUGGAUAUGGUAAAAGCAAUGUAGAAAAUAAUAUCGAUGUACGCGUUGGAGUCACUGGAUCAUUUGAUUUUAGUACAAAUGGUAAUUUACAACUAUCAUAACAAAACAACUGACAUGGAUCUUCAAUGGAAUUUGUGAUACUUUUUCGAGAUAUAUCGGAUGGGGAUGGAUGGAGUUCCUGAAAGUAAAUUAAACUUUUGUGCUUUCUUUGAUAGCAAUUGAAUAGACUUAAAUUUUUCUCAUUAGAUUUUAUUCGACCCAAAUGUUGUAAAAAAUGUUCAAUUAAAUAAUAAACUGUAUUGCCAUAAAUUA
Molecule: RNA transcript, 563 nt
Organism: Contarinia nasturtii (swede midge)
Lineage: Eukaryota; Metazoa; Arthropoda; Insecta; Diptera; Cecidomyiidae
Exons: 3
Source: RefSeq, a predicted model, not a curated record